RNAcentral lists this ribosomal RNA (492 nucleotides) under uncultured bacterium. RNAcentral describes it as "partial 16S ribosomal RNA". It matches the Rfam family "Bacterial small subunit ribosomal RNA", at positions 29 to 507 of the family's 1533-position model. The record is from RNAcentral.
AGUGAACGCUGGCGGUAGGCCUAACACAUGCAAGUCGAACGGCAGCACAGUAAGAGCUUGCUCUUACGGGUGGCGAGUGGCGGACGGGUGAGGAAUACAUCGGAAUCUACUUUUUCGUGGGGGAUAACGUAGGGAAACUUACGCUAAUACCGCAUACGACCUACGGGUGAAAGCAGGGGAUCUUCGGACCUUGCGCGAUUGAAUGGGCCGAUGUCGGAUUAGCUAGUUGGCGGGGUAAAGGCCCACCAAGGCGACGAUGCGUAGCUGGUCUGGGAGGAUGAUCAGCCACACUGGAACUGAGAAGCGGCCGAGACGACUACGGGAGGCAGCAGUGGGGAAUAUUAGACAAUGGGCGCAAGCCUGCUCCAGCCAUACCGCGUGGGUGAAGAAGGCCUUCGGGUUGUAAAGCCCUUUUGUUGGGAAAGAAAAGCAGCAGGUUAAUACCCCGCUGUUCUGACGGUACCCAAGGAAUAAGCACCGGCUAACUUCGUG